AACGAACGCUGGCGGCAGGCUUAACACAUGCAAGUCGAACGCCCCGCAAGGGGAGUGGCAGACGGGUGAGUAACGCGUGGGAACAUACCCUUUCCUGCGGAAUAGCUCCGGGAAACUGAAUUAAUACCGCAUACGCCCUACGGGGGAAAGAUUUAUCGGGGAAGGAUUGGCCCGCGUUGGAUUAGCUAGUUGGUGGGGUAAAGGCCUACCAAGGCGACGAUCCAUAGCUGGUCUGAGAGGAUGAUCAGCCACAUUGGGACUGAGACACGGCCCAAACUCCUACGGGAGGCAGCAGUGGGGAAUAUUGGACAAUGGGCGCAAGCCUGAUCCAGCCAUGCCGCGUGAGUGAUGAAGGCCUUAGGGUUGUAAAGCUCUUUCACCGAUGAAGAUAAUGACGGUAGUCGGAGAAGAAGCCCCGGCUAACUUCGUG
RNAcentral lists this ribosomal RNA (430 nucleotides) under uncultured bacterium. RNAcentral's name for it is "partial 16S ribosomal RNA". It matches the Rfam family "Bacterial small subunit ribosomal RNA", at positions 29 to 507 of the family's 1533-position model. The record is from RNAcentral.